UACGGGGGGGGCAAGCGUUGUUCGGAAUUACUGGGCGUAAAGGGCUCGUAGGCGGCCAACUAAGUCGGACGUGAAAUCCCUCGGCUUAACCGGGGAACUGCGUCCGAUACUGGAUGGCUUGAGUUCGGGAGAGGGAUGCGGAAUUCCAGGUGUAGCGGUGAAAUGCGUAGAUAUCAAGUGGAACACCAGUGGCGAAGGCGAGUCUCUGGACAUUUCCUGACGCUGAGGCACGAAAGCCAGGGGAGCAAACGGG
This 253-nucleotide ribosomal RNA is filed under the name uncultured bacterium. RNAcentral's name for it is "partial 16S ribosomal RNA". It matches the Rfam family "Bacterial small subunit ribosomal RNA", at positions 524 to 776 of the family's 1533-position model. The record is from RNAcentral.